GCAAAGUACAUUUCAUUUCACAUAAAUUCAACAUUCACUCAUUCAAGUGUCUAGUAUAAAAUAAAUGAUAUUGGAGUUCCCUUCGUGGCGCAGCAGAAAAUGAAUCCGACCAGUAUCCAUGAGGACAUGGGUUUGAUUCCUAGCCUUGCUCAGUGGGUCGACCAUCUGGCAUUGCCAGGAACUGUGGUGUAGGUCACAGAUGGGGCUAGGAUCUGGCAUUGCUGUGGCUGUGGCAGUGGCUGGCAGCUUUAGCUCCAGUUUGACCCCUAGCCUGGGAAUUUCCAUGCACUGCAGGUGCAGCCCUAAAAAGCAAACAAAUUAAAAAAAGAAAAAAGAAAGAUAUUCAGUUCUGGUAAAAUUUUAGAGAAGUGAGAAAUAGGUCAUCUUUCAUAGGAACAUAAAGCUUACACUAUAAUAAACAAACUGUAAUGAAAGGUGAAAAAAUAAGUAUUUCCUGAAGACCUAACUAUGUUACCCAUCAGAUAGGUUUAAUUAUUUUCAUUUUAAAGAGGAAUAAUCAGAGGUUUAGAAGGGUUGUACAGUUUGUCCAAGUUCACGUAGACAUAGAUUCAGAUAUAAGAUUGAAAAUUUAAUUCUGACUCAUUGUAAAGCCAGUGCCACAUCGAGUAAGCCACUUGACUCACAUAAGAGAGUUCUUUGGAGAUACAGGAUGAAGUGUCAGAACUGUAAGGAAUAGGUCGAAUUUGAUGUAUGCUCCUCAACCCAGUAAGCUCUCAGUCUGAAAUGACCACACUCUAAAAUUUCAUUUGUCACAACUUUAUCUCCAGUGCAAAUAAAGGAGCAUGUGGAUCUUCAUCAGUUUUCCCUGAAUGACUAGCAUUUGAGAAACUGAAAGAAAACAUAUCCGAGUGUUGAAGUUAGCACAGGAUUCAUUGACUGCUUUUGAGAGAACAAUUCUAUAUGUACCUCUUUACCUCUCUCAAUCAAUAAACAAUUGUUACUGAGUGAACUCUCAUUCUUUUAUGUUGUACAAACCAUAUCACAGUCACUUGAAAACCGUAUUAUUUACAUGUGUUUGGAUGGAGCUAAGCCUCUCCGCUGUUCAGGAUGCUUCGAUUGAAUCUACAUGCAUCAUUUGUUGAAUCAAGAUCAGUGACUUAAAUGUCAAGGUCUCUACCAAAGGGCUGAUGGACUCCUGUCUUUUACUGAAGCCCCCUUGAUAAAUGAAGAAGGUAUAGUCUUGCAGAGGGAUGGACAUGAUUCGAUGUGACUAGAAGAAAAACACAUGUUAGAAAAAUUACUAAAUGCUAUUAAACAAUAUAAAAACUCAUCCCUAAAAGUCCUUUAGCCCAAAGCACAUUUGUGGACAGUAAGUGUUCAGUUUGAUUGUUGUGUGAUAUACACACAGGUGAUGUUCUAGGGAUGACAUGAAUGUCAGGACCGAGAAAUUGAAUUACUAGGGGAUAAUUUGAUUAUAGGGGGCAUAGAGAAUAAUAAUUGCAGCUAUGCUUUAGAAAGACUAUCUGUGAGUCAAAUGUAGGAUGGAUUAUAAAGUGAAGAGUGAAGACAGUGACUCUAGCCAGAAGGCUCUUUGAAGAAUUCGAGCAAAGUUAAGAGGACUUCAGAUUAAGUCAGUGGUAAUGGAAAAGAAGUGCUGCAUUUGGAUUCUCGUGAAGAUUCUAUUUCCACUGAAGGAGUCGGAAGAUUGGAAAUAGAUGGUAAGACAGCAGAAUACAUCAUGCCUUUUAGUAUUUGAGCUCUAGAAAUUCAGCUUGGUUUGAGUUUGCAUAUAAUAAUUAACAUUUUUAUUUAUUUUUAUGGGUGUGUAAUUGAAGUACAGUAUUGUAUGUUACACAUGUACAAUCUAGUGAUUCCUAAUUUUAAAGGUUAUACUCCAUUUAUAGUUAUUAUGAAAUAUUGGCUGUAUUUAUUUCCUGUGUUGUACAAUAUAUCUUUGUAGUUUAUUUUAUACAUAACAGUUUAUACUUCUUAAUCCCCUCUCCCAGUCCUUUUCCUCACUGGUAACCCCUAGGUGUGUUCUAGUUAUGAGUCUGUUUCUUUUGUGUUAUUUUCACUAGUUUGUUGUUGUUUUGUUGUUGUUUUAGAUUCCAAGUAUAAGUGCUAUCAUACAGUAUUUGUUUUUCUUUAUCUGACUUAUUUCACUUAGCAUGAUAAAUUCCAUAAUGUGUGUAUAUAUACUUGUGUGUAGGAUGGAUUAUUAUAUAUGUAUCGCAUGUUUGUUAACCACUCAUCUGUUAGUGGACAUUUAGUUUUAAAGAUGAAAGUAGGUUACUCUCGUAAUAGUAAUGGCAAGACAUAAUCACUGGAAGUUCAGAUCACUGUCUUUGGAGAUACUUUCCAUGAUAGUAAAAGCUAAUGGUAUGUGAUUCAAGAUCUUUUCUCUCUGCUACAACAACCAGCAGUGUUCUGAGGCCAUUCCACCACUUCGAUCAUAAAGUAAAUAUAAUGGGGACCAAACAGAGCCAAUAUGCAAUGGAUAUGUAGCCUGAGCAGCAAAGAACCUUUCCCAUUUUUCAAAGCAUUGCUUAAAAAUAUGACUUUGCAAAUCAAGAACGUAUCCAUCUUGGGAAUUCCCAUUGUGACACAGUGGAAAUGAAACAAACCAGCAUGUAUGAGGAUGCGGGUCUGAUCCCUGGUCUUGCUCAGUGGGUCUGGGAUCUGGUGUUGCUGUGAGCUGUGGUAUAGGUUGCAGACCUGGCUUGGACCCCAAGUUUCUGUGGCUGUGAUUUCAACCAGCCACUGCAGCUCUGAUUCGACUCCUAGGAAAAAAAGAAAAAAAAAA
RNAcentral lists this long non-coding RNA (2764 nucleotides) under Sus scrofa (pig). Its description in RNAcentral is "lncRNA (ENSSSCG00060008217.1)". The record is from RNAcentral. Lineage: Eukaryota; Metazoa; Chordata; Mammalia; Artiodactyla; Suidae.